RNAcentral lists this ribosomal RNA (368 nucleotides) under uncultured organism. RNAcentral's name for it is "bacterial SSU rRNA". It matches the Rfam family "Bacterial small subunit ribosomal RNA", at positions 526 to 896 of the family's 1533-position model. The record is from RNAcentral.
CGGAGGAUCCAAGCGUUAUCCGGAUUUAUUGGGUUUAAAGGGUGCGUAGGCGGAAUGAUAAGUCAGUGGUGAAAGCCUGCAGCUUAACUGUAGAAUUGCCGUUGAUACUGUUGUUCUUGAGUAUAUUUGAUGUGGGCGGAAUGUGUCAUGUAGCGGUGAAAUGCUUAGAUAUGACACAGAACACCGAUUGCGAAGGCAGCUCACAAAACUAUAACUGACGCUGAGGCACGAAAGCGUGGGGAUCAAACAGGAUUAGAUACCCUGGUAAUCCACGCUGUAAACUAUGAUUACUCGAUGUUUGCGAUACACUGUAAGCGUCUAAGCGAAAGCGUUAAGUAAUCCACCUGGGGAGUACGCUCGUAAGAGUG